AUGUUCAUUUUCCAUUGGUGCAAUUUAAAUCUACCUCUCUCUUUCACGGGUUCUCUACAACCUGCUUCUCUUUCUCUCUCUCUUUCCACAGUUCUUUCAUUUUCUCUCAACCCCUUUCUUUUUUCCCUUCAAACCCUAGCGGGUUCGUCACUAUCAUCGGUGCUUCCCGGUGUUGCACGACUAUCUCCACCACAAACCGUCUCCUUUCCCUUUUAAAUCGAUCUACGAUUCAUAAUAAUGAAUAUAAAGAGAAAGGAAGAGAUCUGUUAGAGACAUGGAUAUGAGUUUUCUUAUUCAAGUUACUAAAAGCUCUUGGAGUUUGGCGCGAAUUUUCAACUGUCUUAAGCCUCGCAUGCAUUGUCGCUAAAAGAUGGUAAUGUCUUAUUACUCUUUUUGUUAUUCAUGUUCAUGUUUUUAGAAAUUGUACUUAAUGAUUGAUAAAAAUUUAUUCAAGAAGACAUUGCUAGAGUAUAGGCAUGUCUAAUUUCUAACACUCUUACUUGACAACGAGUAUUACAAUGCUACCAUGUGUAUUUUCCGAUUUACUUGUGUUUUAAGGUGGAUUCAGAACAGUAAUCCCGUAUAUGCAUGUCUGCCACAACCUGUAUUUACUAUUUUCAUUUCAUUCGGAAGCAACGAUACGUGUAUGGAACCAUGAUAGACAGCAUUGCUAAAGUAACUGGGAUUAUUAAAUUUGGAGGAAAUGUUCAAGGUCUCUAUGACUUGGGACCAAGAAGGUUUGGCUCUGAGGCUAUUUAUGGUUUGAUUUUUGUUUUUCUUAAUCUUUUGUUUAACUUGAAUACCGUAGGAAAUCAUUCGUGCACAUUAUAGAUGCGAAAAUAAUUUCAUGUUGCUCACUGCAGAGACUAGAUGUUACUGAUCAUGUUGCUUAUUUUGUACAUUUUUAUUCAUGAUCUGUUAAAGAACACUCAACUAUAUGUUUCUCUUAGCAUGUUCUUUUGUGUUGUUAAUUGAUGCAUUGUCUAGACUAAUGUUGAGUUGCUAUUAUCCUGGCAGUACUGGUCAUAUAAAGAGUUAGAAAAUGACAAUGCUUAAAUUGUUAUAUGAUGUGAAUUGUUGAGCUUGAACAAAGUUGCAUGGGUUCCAGUCACUUUAUUAUUCUGAUGCGAUGUUGUAAAGCAAAUCCCUCAAAAACGGUUUAUGGUUCUAAAAAGAAAAUAAAAAUGGAUGUCUGACUCUGAACUAGCCUUUCUCAUUAUGUAGAUUUAUCUACUCGCCUAACAAAUUAUAAGUUUUUCAACUCUAAUGAUUGGUGCAGUCAAGCAACAUCAUCAUACAACAAUGGAAAACACGGUAAUUUAUACGCCUGGAAUGGAUAGCAAAUAUGAUCAUUUGAUGUUAAAAAAGUAACAGAAAGUGAAAAGAAAACCCAAACUAAAGAAAUUCGGUUAUGAAGCUGAAGGUUUGGAAAUGGCUUCUACCGUAUCUGUGGCUUCUGCAAUAUGUUGUUGUUCUACUAAAUCUGUAAGUUAGUUGGUUCCAAGUUUAUGAUAAUACUUUCCGAGUCAAAUGCAAUAUAACACUUUUUUUCUUGAUAAAA
This is a long non-coding RNA of Vicia villosa (hairy vetch), 1561 nucleotides long. RefSeq lists it as uncharacterized. The record is from RefSeq and is a predicted model, not a curated record. Lineage: Eukaryota; Viridiplantae; Streptophyta; Magnoliopsida; Fabales; Fabaceae. The transcript has 3 exons.